This 209-nucleotide long non-coding RNA is filed under the name Elaeis guineensis (African oil palm). RNAcentral's name for it is "long non-coding RNA (EGUI_LNC008300)". The record is from RNAcentral. Lineage: Eukaryota; Viridiplantae; Streptophyta; Magnoliopsida; Arecales; Arecaceae.
GCCAUUUUUCUCAUAAAAAUGUUAUUUUAACGCAAAAUGAAAUAUAUCAAUUUGCUUUAAUACCAUCAAUUCUAUCAAUUUCUGCCUUUUUAGAACUUGGGUUGCUUAAUUGAUGAAGGAUGCUACUAUAAUGACUUAUUGUAGUGCUGAUUUAUAUAUUAACAUCCUACAUUGUUGAAAACAUUGAAAAAGGUAAAAAGAAGGGCUAC